RNAcentral lists this ribosomal RNA (497 nucleotides) under uncultured bacterium. Its description in RNAcentral is "partial 16S ribosomal RNA". It matches the Rfam family "Bacterial small subunit ribosomal RNA", at positions 28 to 507 of the family's 1533-position model. The record is from RNAcentral.
GAUGAACGCUGGCGGCGUGCCUAAUACAUGCAAGUCGAGCGAACGGAUGAGAAGCUUGCUUCUCUGAUGUUAGCGGCGGACGGGUGAGUAACACGUGGAUAACCUACCUAUAAGACUGGGAUAACUUCGGGAAACCGGAGCUAAUACCGGAUAAUAUUUUGAACCGCAUGGUUCAAAAGUGAAAGACGGUCUUGCUGUCACUUAUAGAUGGAUCCGCGCUGCAUUAGCUAGUUGGUAAGGUAACGGCUUACCAAGGCAACGAUGCAUAGCCGACCUGAGAGAGUGAUCGGCCACACUGGAACUGAGACACGGUCCAGACUCCUACGGGAGGCAGCAGUAGGGAAUCGUCCGCAAAGGGCGAAAGCCUGACGGAGCAACGCCGCGUGAGUGAUGAAGGUCUUCGGAUCGUAAAACUCUGUUAUUAGGGAAGAACAUAUGUGUAAGUAACUGUGCACAUCUUGACGGUACCUAAUCAGAAAGCCACGGCUAACUACGUG